GUAGCAAGUGUCAAGAGAUGAUAGGAAGACCGAAGGGGUAGAGGUAGAGGAAACGUAUCGAGCAUUCUCGACUUCAUUCUUCUCGUCUCCUCUCUCUCUCUCAAUCUCGCAAUCUCGCAAUCUCGCAAGAAAAAAUCGACACCGAGCUCUCGUUAAAUCGUCAUCCUAUCCGCCGAAUCUAAUCUACCGCUGUGGGAUAAUCGAAAUCGGUGACGAUUCUCAACGUCUCCCACUUCUCUCUCACAUCGAAACCUUCUCCUCCGAAACCAGAUAAGCCUUAGCAGUCAACGAGCUGCCAGAUUGGAGCCAAUCCAGGGUAGUCCAAGAGGGAUGUUCCUGGUGACUCAGAGAGAGAGAGAGUGAAAGAGAGAGCUUGGUGUAGAGUUCUUCUUGGGUUCCUCUUGUAUAUCUCCUCUUUCUUGUUGUUCUUCUUCUCUGUUCUUGAGAAGCUCAAGCUAAGUUGUUAGCUGAGUGUAAGAAAGUAACCGUGAGAGGAUGAUUGUAAUCUCCGGUGAAUUUUUUUUCAACUUUGUAAUUUUUUUUUUCAACUUUGUAAUGUUUUUAUGU
Brassica oleracea var. oleracea is the source of this 567-nucleotide long non-coding RNA. RefSeq lists it as uncharacterized. The record is from RefSeq and is a predicted model, not a curated record. Lineage: Eukaryota; Viridiplantae; Streptophyta; Magnoliopsida; Brassicales; Brassicaceae. The transcript is spliced from 3 exons.